RNAcentral lists this ribosomal RNA (382 nucleotides) under Anodonthyla sp. RODS-2018. RNAcentral's name for it is "partial small subunit ribosomal RNA". It matches the Rfam family "Bacterial small subunit ribosomal RNA", at positions 853 to 1413 of the family's 1533-position model. The record is from RNAcentral. Lineage: Eukaryota; Metazoa; Chordata; Amphibia; Anura; Microhylidae.
UCACACCCACAACCGCCAGGGAAUUACGAGCCAUCUUAAAACCCAAAGGACUUGACGGUGUCCCACCCACCUAGAGGAGCCUGUUCUAUAAUCGACACCCCCCGCUAUACCUUACCACUUCUCGCCUUUCAGUCUGUAUACCUCCGUCAAAGCUUACCGUGUGAACGCCCACAGUGGGCUAAAAGAUCUCCGUCAACACGACAGGUCAAGGUGCAACUUACGAAGUGGAAAGUAAUGGGCUACAAUUUCUACAAUAGAACACACGAAAAACUACAUGCAACACAGUCAUUGAAGGUGGAUUUAGUAGUAAAAAGAAAAUAGAGAGUUCUUUUAAAUUAGGCGCUGGGACGCGCACACACCGCCCGUCACCCUCUUCAAGUGC